RNAcentral lists this ribosomal RNA (426 nucleotides) under uncultured Chlamydiae bacterium. Its description in RNAcentral is "bacterial SSU rRNA". It matches the Rfam family "Bacterial small subunit ribosomal RNA", at positions 958 to 1385 of the family's 1533-position model. The record is from RNAcentral. Lineage: Bacteria; Pseudomonadati; Chlamydiota; Chlamydiia.
AACGCGAAGAACCUUACCCAGGCUCGAAAUGCAGGUGGCGAUACCAGAGAUGGUAUUUUCCGUAAGGACGCCUGUAUAGGUGCUGCAUGGCUGUCGUCAGCUCGUGCCGUGAGGUGUUGGGUUAAGUCCCGCAACGAGCGCAACCCUUAUCAUUAGUUGCCAACACGCAAGGUGGGGACUCUAAUGAGACUGCCUAGGUUAACUAGGAGGAAGGUGAGGAUGACGUCAAGUCCGCAUGGCCUUUAUGUCUGGGGCUACACACGUGCUACAAUGGUCGGUACAGAAGGCAGCAAGACCGUAAGGUGGAGCAAAUCCGUAAAACCGAUCUCAGUUCAGAUUGUAGUCUGCAACUCGACUACAUGAAGCUGGAAUUGCUAGUAAUGACGUGUCAGCAACAACGUCGUGAAUACGUUCCCGGGCCUUGUA